AAGAUGAUUAACACAUACGGCAUCAUCUCUAUUGAUCAAACACUCUAAAAAUUCUCCCCUUAAUCGUUCUCUAUCAACCGGUUGUUGUCUAAUGCAAUUAUUUUCAUAAAACCACAUUGAAGAAUGACUCACUAUGAUUAAAAUUGUAAAACAAAGAUCAAUCAUCUCUAAAAAUGAUUGCUGCAAAAUUUGAUAUAACAUCAAAUUUUG
RNAcentral lists this long non-coding RNA (210 nucleotides) under Trifolium pratense (red clover). RNAcentral's name for it is "long non-coding RNA (TPRA_LNC004503)". The record is from RNAcentral. Lineage: Eukaryota; Viridiplantae; Streptophyta; Magnoliopsida; Fabales; Fabaceae.